GCUAGAACUGUCUGCAACAUGUGUGGCUCACUAGGAUUGAUUCAGCUGGUCUGGCUGGUUAUACAGGUGUCCCAUCCUCCCUGCAUACCCUCCCGAAGGUGAGUGCUCAGCAGAAGAGGAUAACCACCCCUGAUAGAGGAAGAUCCCUCUCCCAUCAAGGGUACAUGAGGCUGUGCUCCCCAGCUGGAACCUCCAAACAAGCCCUUCAGGCUCCCUCUAGCAGCUCAAAUCAGCUUCAAACACCAUGUGAUUUGUUU
Molecule: unclassified non-coding RNA, 257 nt
Organism: Dipodomys ordii (Ord's kangaroo rat)
Lineage: Eukaryota; Metazoa; Chordata; Mammalia; Rodentia; Heteromyidae
Gene: 7SK
Rfam family: 7SK RNA
About the family: 7SK was discovered as an abundant small nuclear RNA in the mid-70s but a possible function has only recently been suggested. Two independent studies have found that 7SK RNA binds the CDK9/cyclin T complex (known as elongation factor P-TEFb).
Source: Ensembl